This 270-nucleotide ribosomal RNA is filed under the name uncultured bacterium. Its description in RNAcentral is "partial 16S ribosomal RNA". It matches the Rfam family "Bacterial small subunit ribosomal RNA", at positions 88 to 354 of the family's 1533-position model. The record is from RNAcentral.
CCGGCGACCGGCGCACGGGUGAGUAACACGUAUGCAACCUGGCCGUCACAGGUGGAUAACCGGAAGAAAUUCCGACUAAUACGGCAUAACACUCCUGAGGGACAUCCCUUGGGAGUCAAAGGAGGCAACUCCGGUGACGGAUGGGCAUGCGGCGCAUUAGGUAGUUGGUAGGGUAACGGCCUACCAAGCCGACGAUGCGUAGGGGUUCUGAGAGGAAGGUCCCCCACAUUGGAACUGAGACACGGUCCAAACUCCUACGGAAGGCAGCAG